Molecule: long non-coding RNA, 1050 nt
Filed under: Oryctolagus cuniculus (rabbit)
Lineage: Eukaryota; Metazoa; Chordata; Mammalia; Lagomorpha; Leporidae
Description: lncRNA (ENSOCUG00000021348.2)
Source: RNAcentral
GCACCACACCCCCUGCCCCUCCCGGCGUGCCCGAGCCCCCCGGUCCCUUCCCGUGCAGUGAGUGCCGCGAGAGCUUCACGCGGCGCGCAGUGCUGCUGGAGCACCAGGCGGUGCACACGGGCGACAAGUCCUUCGGCUGCGUGGAGUGCGGAGAGCGCUUCGGGCGCCGCUCGGUGCUGCUGCAGCACCGGCGACUACACAGUGGCGAGCGCCCCUUCGCCUGCGCCGAGUGCGGCCAGAGCUUCCGCCAGCGCUCCAACCUCACCCAGCACCGGCGCAUCCACACCGGGGAGCGGCCCUUCGCUUGCGCCGAGUGCGGCAAGACCUUCCGCCAGCGGCCCACGCUCACGCAGCACCUGCGUGUGCACACCGGCGAAAAGCCCUUUGCCUGCCCCGAGUGUGGCCAGCGCUUCAGCCAGCGCCUCAAGCUCACCCGCCACCAGAGGACACACACCGGGGAGAAGCCGUACCACUGCGGUGAGUGCGGCCUGGGCUUCACGCAGGUGUCGCGGCUCACCGAGCACCAGCGGAUCCACACCGGCGAGCGGCCCUUCACCUGCCCCGAGUGCGGCCAGAGCUUCCGGCAGCACGCCAACCUCACCCAGCACCGGCGCAUCCACACCGGGGAGCGGCCCUACAAAUGUCCCGAGUGCGGCAAGACCUUCCGCCAGCGGCCCACACUCACACAGCACCUGCGCACCCACCGGCGAGAGAAGCCCUUCGCAUGCCAGGACUGUGGGCGCUGUUUCCACCAGAGCACCAAGCUCAUCCAGCACCAGCGUGUCCACAGCGUGGAGUAGCUUCAGCCAGCACGCCCUGCGUCCACUACCUCACAGUGUUGUGAUCAGAGGUAGAGGCAGCCUGCCCGCCCGUGGUCCCCGCAGGUGCUUAAUAAACAGUAAACAGAGUUGGGUCUGCACCCACUCGCUGCACUCCAUCUGCAAGCCCCUCUCUGCCACCCUAUCCAGCACUCCUCUGUGCCCACAAGUGACUGCUGGCAGCGCCUGCUGCCGUCUGAGAGGCUCCUGUACCUGCCUCUGGCUUGCCUAG